This 252-nucleotide ribosomal RNA is filed under the name uncultured bacterium. RNAcentral describes it as "partial 16S ribosomal RNA". It matches the Rfam family "Bacterial small subunit ribosomal RNA", at positions 524 to 776 of the family's 1533-position model. The record is from RNAcentral.
UACGGAGGGUGCAAGCGUUAUCCGGAUUCACUGGGUUUAAAGGGUGCGUAGGCGGGCAGGUAAGUCCGUGGUGAAAUCUCUGAGCUUAACUCAGAAACUGCCAUGGAUACUAUUUGUCUUGAAUAUUGUGGAGGUAAGCGGAAUAUGUCAUGUAGCGGUGAAAUGCUUAGAUAUGACAUAGAACACCAAUUGCGAAGGCAGCUUACUACACAGUUAUUACGCUGAGGCACGAAAGCGUGGGGAUCAAACAGG